CAGUAGCCGCGGUAACACGGGGGGGCAAGUGUUAUUCGGAAUGACUGGGCGUAAAGGGCACGUAGGCGGUGAAAAGGGUGGAAAGUGAAAGUCUCCAAAACACUGGCGGGGUGCCUUCUUGACCAUUUCACUUGAGUGAGAUAGGGGAGGGUGGAAUUUCGUGUGGAGGGAUCAAAUCCUAAGAUAUACGAAGGAACGCCAACCGCGAAGGCAGCUCUCUGGGUCCCCACUGACGCUGGGGUGCGAAAGCAUGGGGAGCAAACAGGAUCAGAUACCCGCGUAGUCCCUGUCUCUUAUACAC
Molecule: ribosomal RNA, 301 nt
Filed under: uncultured bacterium
Lineage: Bacteria
Description: partial 16S ribosomal RNA
Rfam family: Bacterial small subunit ribosomal RNA
Source: RNAcentral